Molecule: transfer RNA, 75 nt
Filed under: Halohasta litchfieldiae
Lineage: Archaea; Methanobacteriati; Methanobacteriota; Halobacteria; Halobacteriales; Haloferacaceae
Description: Halobacteriaceae archaeon tADL tRNA
Rfam family: tRNA
About the family: Transfer RNA (tRNA) molecules are approximately 80 nucleotides in length. Their secondary structure includes four short double-helical elements and three loops (D, anti-codon, and T loops). Further hydrogen bonds mediate the characteristic L-shaped molecular structure. tRNAs have two regions of fundamental functional importance: the anti-codon, which is responsible for specific mRNA codon recognition, and the 3' end, to which the tRNAs corresponding amino acid is attached (by aminoacyl-tRNA synthetases). tRNAs cope with the degeneracy of the genetic code in two manners: having more than one tRNA (with a specific anti-codon) for a particular amino acid; and 'wobble' base-pairing, i.e. permitting non-standard base-pairing at the 3rd anti-codon position.
Source: Rfam by way of RNAcentral
GGGCACGUAGCUCAGCUUGGAUAGAGCGUCGGACUUCUAAUCCGACGGUCAUGGGUUCGAAUCCCAUCGUGCCCG